This 358-nucleotide long non-coding RNA is filed under the name Ananas comosus (pineapple). RNAcentral describes it as "long non-coding RNA (ACOM_LNC033826)". Lineage: Eukaryota; Viridiplantae; Streptophyta; Magnoliopsida; Poales; Bromeliaceae. The record is from RNAcentral.
UUUUCGUGACUUGGUUUUAGGCCUGGAGCCCAACAACCACUCACUGCUUAGGUAGCAUGUUAUCCGUUUCGUUUAUUUUAUUUAAAAAUAAACUUAGCUAGAAAUGUGAAUCAUCUAGAAUUCAAACAUGAAAUAUCGGAUACCAACCAUCAAGCUCUUUACCACUUGCGCUAGGGACGGUCGGUCUUGGUAUAUUUUUUUUACUGUUUUAAAACAGGUGGUUUGUUCAACCAGUGAUUCAACUAUAAUACCAGCAUAAUAUCAUAAAUAUUGAAUUAUUAUUCUUUCAUACUAUAUAUAAUAAUAUAUAUUAAAUAUAAUAAUACUUAUUUUUUGUUAUUUAUUAAUAUAUCUAUAA